Molecule: microRNA precursor, 78 nt
Filed under: Otolemur garnettii (small-eared galago)
Lineage: Eukaryota; Metazoa; Chordata; Mammalia; Primates; Galagidae
Description: miRNA (ENSOGAG00000032217.1)
Source: RNAcentral
GAGCUGGGCUGAGCUGGGCUGAGCUGGGCUUGGCUGAGCUGGGUUGAGCUGACCUGAGCUAGGGUGAGCUGGGUUGAG